This is an RNA transcript of Nicotiana attenuata, 3747 nucleotides long. It is a transcript of the gene named coatomer subunit beta-1-like, with no coding region annotated. Lineage: Eukaryota; Viridiplantae; Streptophyta; Magnoliopsida; Solanales; Solanaceae. The record is from RefSeq and is a predicted model, not a curated record. The transcript has 7 exons.
CCAGACUCGUUACAAAUACAAAAUACCAGACUCACUCUGCGGAUCUCGCAGAUCUGAGUAAAGACACCAAACUUUCUCCCUCCUUAAAACCACCCACCCUCCGAUCACCAUUUCUCCCGACUCCCCUUCUCUCACCUUACCCUCAAAACCCACAAAUUCCUCAUUACCAAAUUCUCUUCAAAAGAUUCACUUCGAUUCAACCAUUUCCGCAUUUCUAUCCGGUAAGCAACUAGAAUAAAAUGGAGAAGUCCUGUUCUUUGCUGAUACACUUUGAUAAGGGCACACCAGCUCUUGUCAAUGAGAUCAAGGAAGCCCUCGAAGGGAAUGAUGUUCCUGCCAAGGUUGAUGCCAUGAAGAAGGCCGUCAUGCUUUUGUUGAAUGGCGAAACACUACCCCAGCUAUUUAUUACUAUUAUUAGAUAUGUCUUGCCCUCUGAGGAUCACACGAUUCAAAAGCUGCUGCUUCUGUAUCUGGAGACUAUUGAGAAGACCGAUUCUAAGGGGAGCAUGCUGCCUGAAAUGGUCCUAAUUUGUCAGAACUUGAGGAAUAACUUGCAGCAUCCAAAUGAGUACAUUCGUGGAGUUACUUUGAGAUUCCUUUGUCGGCUGCAUGAGGUUGAUAUAAUUGAACCUUUGAUUCCAUCUAUUAUGAGCAACUUGGAGCACCGGCAUCCGUAUGUGCGGAGAAAUGCAAUUCUUGCUGUCAUGGCUGUUUACAAGCUUCCACAGGGUGAGCAGCUCCUGGCAGAUGCACCAGAGAAGAUUGAGAACGUCCUUACCACGGAGCAGGAUCCAUCUGCUAAAAGGAACGCAUUUCUGAUGCUUUUCCAAUGUGCUCAGGAACAUGCUGUCAAUUAUCUCUUGACCCAUGUUGAUAGAGUAUCUGAUUGGGGUGAGUUACUCCAGAUGGUUGUCUUGGAUUUGGUCCGAAAAGUUUGCAGGACAAACAAAGGGGAGAAAGGGAAGUACAUCAAGAUAAUUAUAUCACUACUUAUUGUCCCUUCUGCUGCUGUUGUGUAUGAAUGUGCUGGGACUCUAGUUUCUUUGUCUUCUGCCCCAACCGCUAUAAGAGCUGCAGCUAAUACCUAUUGUCAACUUCUACAAUCUCAGAGUGACAACAAUGUGAAGCUUAUUGUGCUUGAUAGACUGAAUGAAUUGAAAUCUUCUCAUAGGGAGAUCAUGGUUGAUAUGAUUAUGGAUGUCCUCAGAGCGCUUUCAAGUCCGAACCUUGACAUCAGGAGAAAAACACUUGACAUUGUUCUUGAGUUGAUCACCCCCCGUAAUAUCAAUGAGGUUGUUCUCACGUUGAAGAAAGAAGUUAUGAAAACCCAGAGUGGUGAACUUGAGAAGAAUGGUGAGUACCGUCAAAUGCUUAUCCAAGCCAUUCAUUCGUGUGCUGUUAAGUUUCCGGAAGUCGCAAGUACAGUUGUCCAUCUGUUGAUGGAUUUCUUGGGUGAUAACAAUGUUGCUUCUGCAAUUGAUGUGGUUGUUUUUGUCCGUGAGAUUAUUGAAACAAACCCAAAAUUAAGGGUUUCCAUUGUGACAAGGCUACUGGAUACUUUCUACCAAAUUCGAGCUGCACGUGUUUGUUCAUGUGCCCUUUGGAUCAUUGGAGAGUAUUGUCUAUCUCUUUCUGAAGUUGAGAGUGGCAUUGCAACUAUCAAGCAGUGCCUUGGUGAUCUACCAUUUUAUUCAGUUUCUGAGAAAGGUGAAGCUAAUGAUUCUUCGAAAAAGUCUCAGCAAGUAAACUCCACUACUGUUUCAUCUAGAAGACCUGCUGUCCUUGCUGAUGGGACAUAUGCUACUCAAAGUGCUGCCUCUGAAACUGUUUUUUCACCCGCGACAGUAGUUCAAGGAUCUUUGACCACUGGAAAUCUGAGAUCCCUUCUGCUAACUGGUGAUUUCUUCCUCGGGGCAGUUGUUGCUUGCACCCUGACUAAGCUCAUUUUGAGAUUGGAAGAAGUUCAGCCAUCUAAAGUUGAAGUGAACAAAGCAACAACUAAUGCAUUACUGAUCAUGGUCUCAAUGAUACAGCUAGGGCAGUCUUCAGUUCUUCCACACCCAAUUGAUAACGAUUCCUAUGAUAGGAUAAUUCUGUGCAUAAGAUUGCUCUGUAACACUGGGAAUGAGGUCAGGAAGAUCUGGUUGAACUCUUGCCACGAAAGUUUUGUUACAAUGCUGUCUGAUAAGCAGCUGCGAGAGACAGAAGAGAUAAAAGCAAAGGCUCAAAUUUCUCACUCUCAGCCAGAUGACCUCAUUGAUUUCUACCAUUUGAAGAGUAGGAGGGGCAUGAGCCAGCUGGAGUUGGAAGAUGCAGUCCACGAUGAUUUGAAACGUGCCACUGGAGAAUUUGUCAAGGAUGAGAAUGAUGCUAAUAGACUAAAUCGGGUUCUGCAACUCACGGGAUUUAGUGAUCCUGUUUAUGCUGAAGCAUACGUGACAGUUCAUCAUUAUGAUAUUGUCCUGGAUGUGACAGUUAUUAAUAGAACUAAAGAGACCCUCCAGAAUUUAUGUUUGGAAUUGGCAACAAUGGGUGAUCUCAAACUAGUUGAGCGUCCACAGAAUUAUACUCUUGCUCCUGAGUCAAGCAAACAGAUAAAAGCAAACAUCAAGGUGUCUUCAACUGAGACGGGCGUAAUUUUUGGGAACAUUGUUUAUGAGAGUUCUAAUGUGCUUGAGCGGACAGUGGUUGUGCUAAACGAUAUCCAUAUUGACAUCAUGGAUUACAUCUCUCCUGCAGUGUGCAGUGAUGCUGCUUUUAGAACCAUGUGGGCAGAAUUUGAGUGGGAAAACAAGGUUGCUGUCAACACUGUCAUUCAGGAGGAAAAAGAAUUCCUUGACCAUAUAAUCAAAUCAACCAACAUGAAAUGCCUUACUGCACUGUCUGCUUUGGAAGGGCAAUGCGGGUUCCUUGCUGCUAACUUGUAUGCAAAGAGUGUGUUUGGUGAGGAUGCUUUGGUGAAUGUAAGCAUUGAGAAACAAGCAGAUGGUAAGCUGAGUGGUUAUAUUAGGAUAAGGAGCAAAACGCAAGGAAUUGCGCUUAGCUUGGGGGACAAGAUAACACUCAAGCAGAAGGGAGGCACUUGAUCAGGCCAACGGAAUUUAGUAUGACCUGGAUAUGCCGAAAACCUUAUUGGUAGUGGGUUCUCUGUCUUUUUAGCAUGUGCUAGCUAAAGGGUAUUUGCGGUUGAAUUCGUCGUUUUGCUGGUUGGCUGUGGGAAGGCAAAUGGUAUUUGGAGGAAUAGACAAGGCAUGAUUUUCUUCUUGAUGAAGUAUAGAACGGGGUUGUCUUUCCAUUGAGCCGGGGAGACAAUCCAAAUCGUAGUCAGUGUCCAUUAUUUGAUUGAGCAUGAUGUGGUCUGCUAGUCGAUUUAAACCAUCCAAAAGAGUACUGUCAGCCCCCAAAAGUGUUUUCCUUCUUGCGGAAAGAAGAUGUUUAGUUUUUUUGUCUAUCUCCUUUACCUAUCAUAUGAUUGUUACACUUGAAUUUGAGGCUCCUCCAAAUCCCCAUUUUGCAGCUUGGUGGAGUGCUGGGGUUAUUGAGAGAACAUGUAGAGAUUAUAAUACUGCACUUAUUCUUAGGUUCGGAUAUAAAGAUUCAAGUAUUUUAUUUUCUGUGAGGACAGUUUUUGUAGAGAAUGAUUUGAAGAAAUAUUGCAUUAUUUUUGACAUGUUUUGAAGCGGAAGUUUCUUCUGAAGUUCAUUCAAUCUCUCUGUUGAACUGAUUCAAAGGUCUGUUUGUCCUGUU